Molecule: ribosomal RNA, 465 nt
Filed under: Vreelandella stevensii
Lineage: Bacteria; Pseudomonadati; Pseudomonadota; Gammaproteobacteria; Oceanospirillales; Halomonadaceae
Description: partial 16S ribosomal RNA
Rfam family: Bacterial small subunit ribosomal RNA
Source: RNAcentral
CCUACGGGGGGCAGCAGUGGGGAAUAUUGGACAAUGGGGGGAACCCUGAUCCAGCCAUGCCGCGUGUGUGAAGAAGGCCCUCGGGUUGUAAAGCACUUUCAGUGAGGAAGAACGCCUGGUGGUUAAUACCCAUCAGGAAAGACAUCACUCACAGAAGAAGCACCGGCUAACUCCGUGCCAGCAGCUGCGGUAAUACGGAGGGUGCGAGCGUUAAUCGGAAUUACUGGGCGUAAAGCGCGCGUAGGUGGCUUGAUAAGCCGGUUGUGAAAGCCCCGGGCUCAACCUGGGAACGGCAUCCGGAACUGUCAAGCUAGAGUGCAGGAGAGGAAGGUAGAAUUCCCGGUGUAGCGGUGAAAUGCGUAGAGAUCGGGAGGAAUACCAGUGGCGAAGGCGGCCUUCUGGACUGACACUGACACUGAGGUGCGAAAGCGUGGGUAGCAAACAGGAUUAGAUACCCCUGUAGUC